RNAcentral lists this ribosomal RNA (778 nucleotides) under uncultured Neocallimastigales. RNAcentral's name for it is "partial large subunit ribosomal RNA". It matches the Rfam family "Eukaryotic large subunit ribosomal RNA", at positions 23 to 626 of the family's 3401-position model. The record is from RNAcentral. Lineage: Eukaryota; Fungi; Neocallimastigomycota; Neocallimastigomycetes; Neocallimastigales.
GAGAGAGAGACAUGCGCGCAUAUCAAUAAGCGGAGGAAAAGAAACUAACAAGGAUUCCCUUAGUAACGGCGAGUGAAGCGGGAAGAGCUCAAAUUUGAAAUCUUCAAGGUUUUACCUUGACGAAUUGUAGUUUAAAGAAGUGUUUUUCUGCUGAAGUUUUGGUAAAAGUUCUUUGGAAUAGGACAUCAUAGAGGGUGAGAAUCCCGUAUUUGACCAUUAUUUUCAGCUUUGUGAUACACUUUCAAAGAGUCGGAUUGUUUGGGAAUGCAGUCCAAAAUGGGUGGUAAAUUUCAUCUAAAGCUAAAUAUUGGCAGAGAGACCGAUAGCGAACAAGUACCGUGAGGGAAAGAUGAAAAGAACUUUGAAAAGAGAGUUAAACAGUACGUGAAAUUGUCAAAAGGGAAGCGUUUGACACCAGUGUUGUUUUCUCGAAAAUCAAUUAAAAAUGGCUCGAUUUUGUAUUGCUUGAGACCUUAAAAGCUCACUGUACAUUUUUCGUGUCUUUUUUAAUGCACUUUUCGUUUAACAAGUCAACAUCAGUUUCUUUUGUUGUAAAAGGGUCAUUGGAAGGUGGCUUUCUUUUCGGAGAAAGUGUUUAUAGCCUUUGGCCUCUGCAAUCGGAGAGACUGAGGUCUGCAGCGUAGACUCUUCGGGGUUAGAUACAUUUGUGCUAAGUUAUAGCUUUUUACAGACAACUUGUUGACUAUAAUUAGUCUUGUAGCUUACUCGCUUAUGCUAUUUUACCUACGCUUAGGAUGUUGAGUCGUAGAGCACGCAG